Molecule: long non-coding RNA, 1262 nt
Filed under: Sus scrofa (pig)
Lineage: Eukaryota; Metazoa; Chordata; Mammalia; Artiodactyla; Suidae
Description: lncRNA (ENSSSCG00035037422.1)
Source: RNAcentral
UGGAGCUUUGUUCCCAGGCUAAGGCUCAAAUCAGAGCUGUAGCCACUGGCCUAUACCACAGCCACAGCAACGCAGGAUCCAAGUUGCAUCUGCGUGCGACCUGCACCACAGCUCUCGGCAACACUGGAUCCUUAACCCAGAGUGAGGCCAGGAAUUGACCCUGUGUCCUCAUGGAUGCCAGUCGGAUUCAUUUCUGCUGAGCCACAAGGGGAACUCCUGAAUAUGUACAUUUUGAAGAUAGCUAAGAUGAUUCCCAUAGGAACAAUUUCUAGAAGUGGAAUAAAGUGAUGAUAAUAAAAGUAUCUGUUCCAGAGAGUGGAUGUAAGGAAAAUGAGAUCAAAUGAAUUAAACCACUCACAACAGUGUUUGGUACAUGCCAAACAGUCAAAGAAUGUUAGGUGUGAUUGUUGAAAUUAUGUUCCACUUGAUAAAUAUUUAGAAAUAACAUUCCAGUGGACUCCUUUUCAUUUUUUUUCAUUUUUUCAAAGUUUUUUUUGAAGUAGGGUUGAUUUACAAGGUUGUGAUAAUUUCUGCUGUAAAACAGAAAUUAGUUAUGUAUACAAACAUCCAUUCUCUUUCAGAUUUUUUUUUUCCCAUAUAGAUUAAUAGAUUAUCACAGAAUAUUAGCUAGAGUUCCCUGGUCUUUUUUUUUUUUUUUUUUUUUUUAAGGCCACACCUGAGGCAUAUGGAGGCUCCCAGGCUAGGGGUCGAAUCAGAUCUGUAGCUGAUGGCCUAUAACACAGCCACAGCCAUGCAGGAUCCAAGCUGCAUCUGUGACCUACACGACAGCUCAUAGCAACGCCAGAUCCUUAACCCACUGAGUGAGGCCAGGGAUCAAACCCUCAUCCUCAUGGAUACUACUCAGGCUUGUUACCACUGACCCAUGACUCCCUCUGGUCAUUCUUAAUAUAAGCAUGUCAUCAAACAUUUUAAUAGUGGUUAAAAUAUUGUGAACCACAACACUAAGCUUUGUGAAGGACAUCUGAGGGAAGAGAUGGGCUUCUGGCAAGAAGAGAUUAAAGAAACCAGCAACGGGCCCUUUGAAGAGUGGAUUAAAGGAGUGAGAAAUAGCCUAGAAAGAAAUGAUGAGACAAAUGUCACCAUUUCAUCUGAUGUACUUGGAUAUUUGGAUGAUUCUUCAAUCCCAAAAGCCAUGCAGCUAUUGUCACAAGGUACACCGGCUGGGACCAGGCCUACAGGUGGCAGGCAGCAGUAUCCACAGCAAGGCCCAGGGAGACAGGCUCAAUGGCCAGGGUUGGGAC